Molecule: transfer RNA, 84 nt
Filed under: Acidobacteriota bacterium
Lineage: Bacteria; Pseudomonadati; Acidobacteriota
Description: tRNA-Ser
Rfam family: tRNA
About the family: Transfer RNA (tRNA) molecules are approximately 80 nucleotides in length. Their secondary structure includes four short double-helical elements and three loops (D, anti-codon, and T loops).
Source: RNAcentral
GGAGGCGUCGCCUAACUGGUCAGGGCAGCGGUUUGCUAAAUCGCCGCGCGCAAGCGUGUGCAGGUUCGACUCCUGCCGUCUCCG